UGGGUCAAGGAGAAGCCGGGGGUCCUCAACCCGGAAUUUCUGGAUCUCCGCGAAGAAUUUAACGGCACCUACACGGCCACCAGCACCUUGGCCAUCUCCACCCAAGACUGGGAAGCCGGCGAACGCUUCACCUGCAUGGUCAAGCACGACGACCUCGUGGUGACACUCAACAAGAGCAUCUCCAGGCGGUCAGGAGACUGCCUGGUCCACGCCUUCCACCCCGAGAACAUCCAAGUCCAGUGGCUGAAGAACCACGAGAACGUGGCCGAGGAGGCCUACGUCACCACGCCGCCCCUGCGCGACGGUCCCAAGGAGAGCACCUUCUUCGUCUACAGCAAGAUGACGGUCCUCAAGAGCAGCUGGCUGAGCGGCGACGUCUACUCCUGCAUGGUGGUCCACGAAGGGUUGCCCAUGAGGUUCACCCAACGCCAAGCACAGAAGAACCCUGGUAAAUAA
Molecule: non-coding RNA, 456 nt
Organism: Pelecanus crispus (Dalmatian pelican)
Lineage: Eukaryota; Metazoa; Chordata; Aves; Pelecaniformes; Pelecanidae
Source: the annotation of a RefSeq genome assembly